RNAcentral lists this long non-coding RNA (1026 nucleotides) under Mytilus galloprovincialis (Mediterranean mussel). Lineage: Eukaryota; Metazoa; Mollusca; Bivalvia; Mytilida; Mytilidae. The record is from RNAcentral.
UGAUGGAGUUGCAAAAUUUACCACGGUUCUAUGGUCAACUAAAGGAGACUAAUUUCAUUUAUCAAAGGACAGGAGACUUUCCAUGCCUCAAGACUUUAAAAGCUGAAAUUGUAAGGCUUUAAGGAACUAAUGUAUAUGUAUAUGGUAUUAUCUUAAGUUUCCAUAAAAAACAUUAUCAAGUAUAAUUUAAGUCUUUAACUUUUUUAUUUAAACAUAUUUUUAAGAAAAAUAAAAUGUUUUAACUUUGUUCAAUGCAUCUGCUCUAUGGUCAGGUUGUUGUCGCUUUGACACAUUCACCAUUUUCUUUCUCAGUUUUACUUUUAUAAUUUCUUCAAUUGGAAGAAAUAAAGCACAUAAUUUGUACACAAUAACCUUUUUGAUUUAAGCUUUCGUAUGAACCUUUCUUUUAGAUCAUUACAUGAAGCUUACACUGUUUGAAGAGAUGUGGGUAUAUGCCAAUGAGACAGCAACUCAACUACAAGAAUAACCAAAGGAACAAAUCAAGAUACUUUUUUAACUGUCUAAUCAAACAUAAUGCUCCCUACAGUCAAAUACCAAACAAUUAAAAGAGUAAAUGCAUGCAGUAAUUCUUUAAAUACAUAAUGUUUGUCUCCAAUUAAUAAAGCAGUUGUCUGAAUUUGUGUCAUAUCUUUGUAGGGAAAUAAGAUGCAGAGAACCAUUCAUGAAGUGUAUACAUGAAACAGAUAUUUACAAUGUUCUUUAGAGCUAUAACUCUAGCCCUUAAGAUUACAUUACACUACUAUUGCUUGCUAAUUCUACUAUCAACAGUAAAAGAGAGAAGAUUCAGGACUAAGAGUGAUUUUUGCAGUUUGCUGUGGAUGAAAUUUGGAUGUAUUGAUGAAAUUAAUACAACAAUAACAGUUAAUUCUUUGAACAAGAAAAAGCUGUGCAAUGGUGCAAAACAAAAAACUUAUGAACCAUAAAAUGAUUAAAUCUGUGUUGAGUUUUCAAUUUUUAUAAAAGUGACAACAUUUACCUACAUGUAAUGAAAUAUAAUAAACCCCA